This 240-nucleotide ribosomal RNA is filed under the name uncultured eukaryote. Its description in RNAcentral is "partial 18S ribosomal RNA". It matches the Rfam family "Eukaryotic small subunit ribosomal RNA", at positions 1208 to 1456 of the family's 1831-position model. The record is from RNAcentral.
GGAAAUCUCACCAGGCCCGGACACUGGAAGGAUUGACAGAUUGAUAGCUCUUUCUUGAUUCGGUGGGUGGUGGUGCAUGGCCGUUCUUAGUUGGUAGAGUGAUUUGUCUGGUUAAUUCCGAUAACGAACGAGACCCCAACCUGCUAACUAGCCCUCGGGUCCUGCUUCUGUUGGGCCCGACGGAAUGAUUCGCUUCUUAGAGGGACUCGCGGCGCCUAGCCGCACGAAGGGGGGCGAUAA